Molecule: transfer RNA, 85 nt
Filed under: Clostridiales bacterium
Lineage: Bacteria; Bacillati; Bacillota; Clostridia; Eubacteriales
Description: tRNA-Tyr
Rfam family: tRNA
About the family: Transfer RNA (tRNA) molecules are approximately 80 nucleotides in length. Their secondary structure includes four short double-helical elements and three loops (D, anti-codon, and T loops).
Source: RNAcentral
GGGAGUGUUCCCGAGUGGCCAAAGGGGGCAGACUGUAAAUCUGUUGCGUUUCGCUUCGAUGGUUCAAAUCCAUCCACUCCCACCA